Molecule: ribosomal RNA, 494 nt
Filed under: uncultured bacterium
Lineage: Bacteria
Description: partial 16S ribosomal RNA
Rfam family: Bacterial small subunit ribosomal RNA
Source: RNAcentral
GACGAACGCUGGCGGCGUGCUUAACACAUGCAAGUCGAACGGAGAGGCCUGCUUUCCCUUGUGGAUUGCGGGUACUCGAGUGGCGAACGGGUGAGUAACACGUGAGUGAUCUGCCCCCAACUUGGGUAUAAGCCUGGGAAACUGGGUCUAAUUCCCGAUAGGACUGCAGGGUGGUGCCUGUGGUGGAAAACGAUUUUCUAGUGGUUGGGGAUGAGCUCGCGGCCUAUCAGCUUGUUGGUGGGGUAAUGGCCUACCAAGGCGGCGACGGGUAGCCGGCCUGAGGGGGUGGACGGCCACAUUGGGACUGAGAUACGGCCCAGACUUCUACGGGAGGCAGCAGUGGGGAAUAUUGCACAAUGGGCGGAAGCCUGAUGCAGCGACGCCGCGUGGGGGAUGACGGCCUUCGGGUUGUAAACUCCUUUCGACCGCGAGGAAGCCACCUGGUUGGAAGGGUGGUGACGGUAGUGGUAGAAGAAGCACCGGCUAACUACGUG